GGAGAGAGGGUGGAAAGCGGCGGCACUGACGGGCGGGCUCAACAAGUCGUGAGGGCAGGGACCAGCAAGCCGGGCUCCCCGCGGCGCGGGCUGCAGGGCUGAGCCCGGCUCCGGGGAGAGGCGCAGCUCAGAGCUCCGCCCCGCCAGCAAGCGAGGAGGGACAGGCCCGGCCGGGCUGUGGCGCUCAGGCCGCUGCUAUAAGAGGCGCCGCCGGGGGGCAGGUGCGGCCAGCCGAGAGCUCGGAGCUGCGCGGGCGCGUAGCGGCUGGGCCAGGUGCCUGGGCGCUGCAGGGCUUUGCUAUGGCAGAGGCUGCGAGCGUGGUGCCGAGGGUCUUGUAUCUGAAAGAGCGGCUCGGCCAGACUCAGGAUCCCCAAAAGGUACCGCCUCGCUCCCACGCCACCCCGCACCUGCCUAGGAGAGGAGGCUGGAGUCAGCGCCCUGCGGGGGCUGCUGGCCUGGGGCCUGUUUCUGGCUGACUGCCCCCGCACACAAGCUGCGGGAUCCCUCUGGCAGGUCCCCCUGCAAGUGACCACAAGGGGAAAAAACAGAACACUGAAAAGAGGAACGAAUUCUCAUUGGACAAGACAAAGUCAUCGAUUUGUAAAGAGAAUAAGAACUCUGGCAAGACAAAAAUGUCUGAACCAGCCUCGGAAGAUGGUAAAAGAUCUCCCACAUCUGAUAAAUGGAAGAAGGAGCAUAGUUUUACAGAGAGUAAGCAAAGAAAUAAAGAUACUGAGUCUUCUAAUGGACGUGAAAGCAAAAUACAUAGCUCCAGUAGUUCUAAAAAUAUGUCCCAAAGCAUCAAUCCUGAAAACACAAAAAGUGACUGCAAAGAAACAACCUCUGCAGCCAGCAAAAAACCUUCAGAAAAGCACCAUUCCCCUAGAGCCAGCAAAAAAGACCUAUUGCCAACAAAAGGGUCUUGUAAGGAUCUUUCCAAACAGAGAAACUCUGAGGACACAGGAAAAUUAAAACAAACGCUUAGUGUGGAAAACAAACCAAAGUUGCCCAGUGAUGAGGACUUUGAGCCCCCCACUAUGUCUUUUGAAUCCUAUCUUAAUUAUGAUCAGGUUUCAAAUAAAAGAAAGAGGAAGACUUGUACUACAAGUGAACAGUCAAAAAACAUUAAGGGCUGCGAACAGAAAAACUGCUCGUUAUCGCCGAAAACUUCAAUAUCCCCUGUCACAAAAGAGAGAGAGGAAAAACCACACAAAUCAGAAGAUGAUCAGUCAGAAAGUCCCACUAAAAAGGCCAAGACAGCAUCGCUCCAAGAUCUACUUAAUACUCCACUGCCUAAAUUUCUGCCAGAGAUAUCCUUAUCUUCUCCCCCAUAUUCUACGGAGUUCAAAGCACCAGUCGCAGAAGUACCCCAGCAAAGCAGUGAUACAAAUCAAUUCACAGGACGGAGACUGAACUCUAAAAUGCAGGUUUACUCUGGCUCUAAAACAGUCUAUCUUUCAAAGAUGCUAACCCUGUAUGAACAGUGCAUCCGCAUACUUCAAAAUAACAUUGAUUCACUACAUGAAGUAGGAGGAGUGCCCUUUGAAAUUCUUGAGCCUGUGCUAACACGUUGUACACCAGAGCAGUUGUUUCGAAUAGAGGAGUGCAAUCCGACAUUUAUAGAAGAGUCUGAUCAUUUGUGGAAGAAACACUGCCAAAGGGAUUUUAAAAACGACCAUCUCCUGGAAUAUGAAUCGUGGCGUGAAAUGUAUGUGCGGCUCUUCAGUCAGAGAGAAGAAAAACUAAAGACCCUCACAAAAAACAUUAUUUCAGCUCAGUCUGAAAAACCUAAAGGGCGACAGGUUAAACUGGCUUACAUACAUAGUGUGGCAAAACCACCGAGAAAUGUUCGUCGGCAGCAAGAGAUCUAUGGGACAGCUGGACCUAUUGUACAGCUUCAUCCUAUUGAAAAGGGCAAAACAAAGAAUCCAGAAAGCAGAGACCGAAAUAACACCUCACCAAGCCCAAACGCAACCACUAGCAAUGUAACAAAUGGAAGCUCCAGCACUUACUCAAGUGGAGUGAGUCAGGAUAUAAAAAAACAGUCAAAAAACUCUACAUGUCAAAGUAUAGCCACUCAAUUUCCAUAUUUCUUCCCCGGAGGCUAAUCACUCAAAAGCUUUCUGAAACUAAGCUUCACACUUUAAAAUGCUAUUGUAUGGUGAAAAGUCCAGGGCCUCAUUAACAUCCUUACUGUGAAACAACAUAAAUUCAAGCAUAAAAUUGAUAAGCAAAUAGGCCUAUAAUAAGUUGCAACCAACAGCACCUUCCAAUAUGUUGAACUACCAAAAGUAAAGAAAAGUUGAAAUUCUUUGGCCAGGCAAACCCUGAGAUUUGACCAAACCUCCCUUACGGUUUUGCAGUUUGAAGUCAAUGAUGCUUGUGCCCCUAACUCACACAGGUGCUUUGGAAAAUGUUACCUCUAUGCCUUAUCUCCCAGCCUGUGGCAGCAGUAGACUUAGGCCUUGUCUACACUACAGAGUUUUGUCAACAAAAGGUCACUUUUCCCGACAAAACAGUGGAGGUAUACACUACAAUGCUGCUUCUGGCGGCAAAACUCUCCUGUUUUGGUGACAAAAUAAUUCCCCUCCCGUCUUGAUAAGAGGCAUUGAGCUUUCUAUUCGUGACAAAGUGUCAGUGUAGACACCACACUUGUUUUUGUCACUAUAAAUGGACACAGGAGGUGUCCCAAAAUCUCCAUGCUGACCACUCUGGACUCAGCUGCCCUGUAGCCAGGUAAACAAGCAUCCACCUCGCCUCCUUCUAAGGCCCUGGAAUUUUUGAAAUUCCGCUUCUUGUUUACUUGGCGUGGAGAGCUCACAUCACAUCUUCCCAGGUGGCCGCGGUGGCUCCACGUGGCAAAUACUUUUCUGCUUCUGCGAAGCUGUUGGAUCUGUUGAGUAUAUGGGGGGAGGAGGCUCUCUAGUCCCAGCUUCACUCCAGUCUUAGGAACUUCGAUACCUACAGGCAGACUUCUCGUGGCUCAUGUGAUAAGGGCUACGAAUGGGACACUGUGCAGUGCCAAGCAAAGAUAAAGGGGCUGAGGCAGGCGUACCAGAAGGCAAGGGAGGCAAACUGUCGCUCUAGUGCUGCUCUCAAGAGCUGACGCUUCUAUAAGGAGCUGGAUGCCAUCCUUGGUGGCAACCCCACCUCCACCACCAAGAGCCCCAUGGAUACUUCGGCGGGGCUGGAGGCAGCAGACAGAGGACCUGACCUCCAGGAUGAAGUCGUGGAUGAGGAGGUAGAGUUGGAGGACUAUAUGGAGCCCAUGGCAGGGUCGUCCGGUGGUGUGGCAAGUCAGCAACUUUUCCCCACUCCAGAGGUGUCUAGCCAGUCCCAGCAGUCCCUCUCUGGCUAGCAAGAAGCAGGAGAGGAGACUCCUGGUGUUGCCUUCAGGGGAGCCCCCUACUCAUGGGAGGAGUGCCUCUGCCAGAUAAGGAAGUGACCAAAGUGUAGCAAGGAAGACGUGCUCCAAGUGGUGCUGCAAUCCUCUGAGGAAGAACAAAGAGAACGCAGGGAGUGGAGAGAAAUGAAAGGCGGGACAGAGUCGAGCUCAUUCGAAAGGCCCAUGGGCAGAUGAUAGGUCAUGGCUACUUAAGUUCUUAAUCAAGCUACAUUCAGAAGAGAUGCAUGCUCACCCCCACCAUAGCCAAUACAGAACUGUUUUCCAUGUCCUCCCCAAACUCCUCCCACAUAUUCCCUUCAACUUUCUGGAACAUCUUGGUAUCCUGCUCACUCCACCCCUUCAGACCCCUUCCAAAAUGAUAGUUGGAUUUAUGCACAGCUAUGAGAGCCUUCAAUGCCCUGCACUGCUGCCUCCCUUCCUACCAAGUCUUUAGUGUGCAUUCAUUGGUGUUUAAUAAAAGCAAACUCUCUGAAAGAUAAUCACUCUUUAUUUGUGUCCUCCACAUAGUGAUUGCAGUUAAUAGUUAAACACAUACAUGCAGUUUAAUCAUUUGCUGACUGCAAUUUUCACUCACAAAUAGUCACAACUGUUAUGCUUCAUUAAGUGGAGUUUUGUUUGUUUGCCUGACAGAUUUCUCUAUACAAGCACACAUUACUGGUUCUCUCUCAAAAUGUUCCCUUAAAGCCUCCCUGGUUCGAAUUGCCCCCCAUUGUGCCCUUUUAAUGGCCCUGGCAUCAGGCUGCUCAAAAUCAGCAACCAGGCAAUCUACCUCAGCACUCCAUCUCCUGGACAAACUUUUCAUCCUUGGCCUCUCAAAGAUUAUGGAGCAUGCAGCAGGUAGCUAUGACCAUUGGAAUGUUUCCCUCACUUAGAUCUAACCUGCCAUAAAGGCAGCACCAGCAUGCUUUUAAUCUGCCAAAGGCACAUUCCAUGGUCAUUCUGCACCUACUCAGCUUAUUGUUGAAAUGCUCCUUGCUCUUCUCUCGGUUUCCCAUGUAAGGCUUCAUGGAGAAGUAAGAAGUACGCUGAGUUUCCCAGGCUCACUAUGGGCAUUUCAACAUCUCCCACUGGAAUCUUUUGGUCUAGAAAGAGAGCUCCUGCUUGCAGCUUUCUGUACAGACUAGUGUUCCUGAACAUGCAGGCGUCAUGCACCUUCUCAGACCACCCUGCACGGAUGUCAGUGAAACGCCCUCCGUUGUCAAAAGCACCUACAAUACCAUAGAGUAGUACCCCUUUCUAUUG
This is a non-coding RNA of Chrysemys picta bellii (western painted turtle), 4648 nucleotides long. The record is from RefSeq and is a predicted model, not a curated record. NCBI's taxonomy places the organism in Eukaryota, Metazoa, Chordata, Testudines, Emydidae.